Chinchilla lanigera (long-tailed chinchilla) is the source of this 1359-nucleotide long non-coding RNA. RefSeq lists it as uncharacterized. The transcript is spliced from 4 exons. The record is from RefSeq and is a predicted model, not a curated record. Lineage: Eukaryota; Metazoa; Chordata; Mammalia; Rodentia; Chinchillidae.
GCAAAGGCCCGGAGGGCAGGACUGGGAAUUCUGUCCUAGGGGGCAAGGGGAGCUUCUGGGAGGAGGUGACCAGUCCACCGAGCCUGAAAGGAAGACAGCAGCAGUCCUGAGGGCAAGAUCGAUGCCUGAACAGCAGCAAAGCUUCUUGGGACAGCUGACACAGCUGGAGUUCAGGAGGGCAUGGCUGGAAAUGAAACUGGAAGACAAAGGAAGGAUUAGGACAAGCAUCGAGGAGAAGAAGAUCUUGGAACUGAGGUGUGAAGGCAAUGGGCACGUGGAAGUCAGGCGGGAGCAUUAGGAAGCUGAGCAGAACCACAUCGGGCAGUUGAGCGUCGGCUAUGUACGUGGCACCGAGAUGGGUGCAGGGAAAGGGACUGGAAGGAGGCUGACGGAGGCCCUCGCUGCAGAAGCAGCCUGUGCAGAUAUCCUGUGGUGAAGAAAGCCCUGGCCAGAGCUAAUGUGCUGGCAACGAGGAUGGAGGCACCAGCCCAUGAACACAGAAAAACUGCUCCCAAGCAGAGCUUCACAUAGAUAUAGCAAAUAUACACUAAGUUCUCCUUCAGGAGCCAGCUGAGGAAAAGAGCGCCUUCCUUUGUGCAAUGUGCAUACCAUACCCUGAUUUCCAGCUUGGGACUUCACAGGGCCCUCAUCCAUCUGGCUUCAAGCACAGGGAAGCCGGGCAGUGGCCACAUCCCCAUCAGCAUAAUCGCAUGUGUGCGCUCAAACAGGCAAAGCGAACUCACACAGCCCUUGCUUUGCCACGGUUGGGCCGCCAUGGGAAGUGACCCGGACUGAGCUUCCAGGAAACUGUCCAGCCAAGCUUCACAUAAAGCUGAGCUCCUGAGAAGCCUGGGUGUGAGGAAGAGUGGGAAGAGAAUGGCCCCAUGCCUCUGCCCCCUCCCGCAAACCUUCUAUCAUGCCUGUUCACAAGGAGCACAGUGUGGCAUUUAGUAGCAGCUGGGGAAGGGAUUUCUUUUUACUGAGACCUUCUGGACCUUUCAGCAAAUCCUAAUCUCAUAUCAAAAAUAUCCCCAAAGGUAAUUUUUGAAAGGGGGCCCAAAUCAAGAUCCAGAAAGAAGAGUGACCUGUCUAAUAUCACAAAGCUGUUCAGCAAAGACUAGCUCCAGGGCUCCUGAUUCUUGAUUCCAGGCAUUUUCCCGAAGACUCCACAUAAAGCCUCAAGUCUAUUAACCUCUUACUGAGCAUUUACUAUGUGCUGAGCUCUAAAGCAUAAAGUUUUUAAAGAUUAAAACAUGCACACAUGCAGCACUGUAAAAUGGAAGGCUUGGCUCAUUCAGAAUCUUGAAUAUGAUCAUGAUCGAGGUAGAAAUUAAGCCCCGGAGAACUUGUCAUUGCCAG